Athene cunicularia (burrowing owl) is the source of this 862-nucleotide long non-coding RNA. RefSeq lists it as uncharacterized. Lineage: Eukaryota; Metazoa; Chordata; Aves; Strigiformes; Strigidae. The transcript has 3 exons. The record is from RefSeq and is a predicted model, not a curated record.
CUCCCCGGCGGGGCUCCGGGCAGGUGGGGCUCCGGCUGCGCCCUUUCCUCCGCCCGUGUGUCGUGAGCCGGGAGUCCGCGGUGAUGGGCACGGGACAGAAGCCUGGAAAGAUCGGGGCGCUGCAAGAGGAGCUGCUGCCACCAUACUUCAGCCGUGAACAGAUCCGUGCACUUCAGCCCGGCUCAAAUUCUGUAGCGCUCUUGGUGACCUAAGGCUGUCCCCUGGCCUGGGCACUGAGAAGACACCCCGGUGUCCCCUGGCUCGCUGUCAGUCUCCCUUGCACACAGCUCUCCUGCUUCAUCCCUUUAAUCCCCGGUUGCUGCGUUUGCACUGAAAACAUGUUUUGUUCUUGACGUAUCUGCUCCUCCUUUGCCCGAGCUGGGUCCUUGUUUGCCGUAGCACUGUGGUGUGGGGAACUCGCUGUUCUCUCAUUUGGGUAUUUGUGACAGGUUGACUUGAUUCAAAAUCCAUGUCAGCCCGUGAAAAACAUCCCCUUGGCUUCAGUGUGCUCUGGACCAGGAUUUCAAAAAUCAACAAGCAGGAGAUUACAGUUUUAUAAGUGAGAGGCCUUCUGUCUGACUGGGUACCAGUGGCACAGGAGGGCUGUUACCAUGUGGAUGAUGCAUGACGUUACUGUUGUACUCGUGUGGCUGAAAAUAACACUGACUUGCUGAGCCAGUCACCUUUCUGCUCUCCAAAACUGUAAUAAUUUUAAUGAUAGGGCUGAAUAGAAGCAACGUAGAAGAAUGGGUGUGCCAAAAGACGGCUCUGAAAAGGCUGCCAUACCUCCUCCUGUGAAUGUAUGCUGCAGAUAAAAAAGAUUUCCAAGAAUGAUAAAGGAAGUAAAAUUUGUAUGAAGUAA